Molecule: ribosomal RNA, 464 nt
Filed under: uncultured bacterium
Lineage: Bacteria
Description: partial 16S ribosomal RNA
Rfam family: Bacterial small subunit ribosomal RNA
Source: RNAcentral
ACGCACGCUGGCGGCGUGCUUCACCCCUGCCAGUCGAACGGAAAGGCCCCUUUGGGGGUACUCUAGUGGCGAACGGGUGAGUAACACGUGAGUAACCUGCCCUUGACUUCGGGAUAACUUCAGGAAACUGGGGCUAAUACCGGAUAGGAAUCCUUGCUGCCUGGUGGGGGUUGGAAAGCUUCGGCGGUUUUGGAUGGACUCGCGGCUUAUCAGCUUGUUGGUGGGGUAGUGGCUUACCAAGGCUUUGACGGGUAGCCGGCCUGAGAGGGCGACCGGCCACAUUGGGACUGAGAUACGGCCCAGACGCCGACGGGAGGCAGCAGGGGGGAAUAUUGCACAAUGGGCGGAAGCCUGAUGCAGAAACGCCGCGGGCGGGAGGACGGCCUUCGGGUUGUAAACCGCUUUCAGCAGGGGCGAAGCUUGUGGUGACGGUACCUGCAGAAGAAGCACCGGCUAACUACGUG